AACGCGAAGAACCUUACCUGGGCUCGAAGUGUAGAUGACCAUCGGCGAAAGUCGACUUCCGCAAGGACAUCUGCAUAGGUGCUGCAUGGCUGUCGUCAGCUCGUGUCGUGAGAUGUUGGGUUAAGUCCCGCAACGAGCGCAACCCUUGUUUCCUGUUGCCAUCGGGUAAUGCCGAGCACUCUAUGGGGACUGCACGGGUCAACCGUGAGGAAGGCGGGGAUGACGUCAAGUCAUCAUGGCCCUUAUGUCCAGGGCUACAAGCGUGCUACAAUGGAUUACACAAAGGGUCGCAAACUCGCGAGAGCCAGCUAAUCCCAAAAAGUAAUCCUCAGUUCGGAUCGGAGUCUGCAACUCGACUCCGUGAAGUUGGAAUCGCUAGUAAUCGCGGAUCAGCCACGCCGCGGUGAAUACGUUCCCGGGCCUUGUACACACCGACUGUAC
Molecule: ribosomal RNA, 441 nt
Filed under: uncultured bacterium
Lineage: Bacteria
Description: bacterial SSU rRNA
Rfam family: Bacterial small subunit ribosomal RNA
Source: RNAcentral